UACGUAGGGCGCAAGCGUUGUCCGGAAUUAUUGGGCGUAAAGAGCUCGUAGGCGGCUUGUCACGUCGGGUGUGAAAGCCCGGGGCUUAACCCCGGGUCUGCAUUCGAUACGGGCUGGCUGGAGUGUGGUAGGGGAGAUCGGAAUUCCUGGUGUAGCGGUGGAAUGCGCAGAUAUCAGGAGGAACACCGGUGGCGAAGGCGGGUCUCUGGGCCGUUACUGACGCUGAGGAGCGAAAGCGUGGGGAGCGAACAGG
Molecule: ribosomal RNA, 253 nt
Filed under: uncultured bacterium
Lineage: Bacteria
Description: partial 16S ribosomal RNA
Rfam family: Bacterial small subunit ribosomal RNA
Source: RNAcentral